RNAcentral lists this long non-coding RNA (1477 nucleotides) under Eptatretus burgeri (inshore hagfish). RNAcentral describes it as "lncRNA (ENSEBUG00000017352.1)". Lineage: Eukaryota; Metazoa; Chordata; Myxini; Myxiniformes; Myxinidae. The record is from RNAcentral.
CCCCCCCAUGUAAGGCUCCUCGUGUCGGAGGUAGCUUUUGAGCCUCCAGUUGUUUCUUGGUGAAAAGCUUCCAUCUGAGAUCACCAACAUCCACCACAGUGCUACCAGGCUCAUAGAGCUGGCAAACAAAUGUCUCAAUGGCUCGUUCAGUGUCACCUUCCAGCUUCUCGGAGAUCCCUAAGGCAGCAAAUGCAGAUACCACCUCCAUGGAGCAUCUGCUAAGUGCUUGCCAACAGGUCAGCUUCCCCUUGCCUGCAAAUCGACCUGUUACGUCAGCUCCAGAGAAGGCAUGAAAUCCUGCUUGAUGGAUUGCUGGUGCCUCUGCCUCACCUCUUGCUCACCUUGACACUGGAAACCAAGGCCUUCAAGAUCAUUGGAAUCUCCUGUGACGAAGUUGAGUCUUUGGGCUGAUCACUUUCGCAUCGCAUCGCAUCGCAGACAGGUCUGGUCUGUCUGCCUUCUACCACCUUCUUCCUGAUCUUGUAUCUUCUGCUCUUCCCAUGCUUUACCCCCCUCUCCCCCAAACCAGGUAUCUGUAGGGCACCAUGUGGUCCACCAUCAAAUCCCAUUCUGAACUCCCGAAAUCCAGGAUCUCUGCCCCUCCACACUCGUUUGUUCCUCUAUUAAUUUUAUUUUUUCCCCCCACAUGUGGAACAAACUUUCACAUUCUCUUUAAUCUCAUUCUUCCCUCCAGGUCUUGAAAGACAGCUGUUCACCACCAUCUCAGAUCAUCCCUCAUCCAAAACCAUGAUCUUUUCUACCUCUGGAUAACAAUGUCUUCCUGCAUCGGUGUUCUGCCAGGCACUUGGAACUGCAGCCAGAGACAAGUGGAGCAGCACUUGGUUGAGAACCAUUGAUCUCGGGUGCAUAGUAUGGCCUUCUGUGUUUGUCGCUGUCUGGCAGGCAGGGCACUGGACUCGGUAUUGCUGUCUUAACUUUCCCUUGCAAGUGCUUCUCUCCACUCUGGCAUUUCAUGGGCCCCCUGCAAAGUUUUAUCAACACUUGUUGCUGCUCUUUCUGCUGCUCACGCAGGAGGUCAUGCAGGUUUCUUCUGUGAACCGGACACAGAGCCGAGGAGCGGCGUCGAUGUGCAGGCCCACACCAAGCCCACCACUCGGUUGGAUUUUGCAGAAAUGUCAAGGGAUGGACUGCAUGCAGCAGGAUUGUGCCACUUGAAGCAUCAUGCAGAAUGGACAUUGACAAUUUCGUGAAACUAAAGGAGUGAGCUGCAAGUCUCCCUCCAUUGUUUCGAGCAACGUCGGGUGGGCUGGUCCACCCCAAGUCAGGUCUUGCUCCUCAGUCAUUUGCAGAGAAUGAGGUUACUGGAGGAGAGCAAAAAGCUUGGCUCACCCUGUGGUGACAAGAUGCAGUUCGUAGAUGGAAGCAUAAGCAAUGGGCACUGAACCACAUUCCUAAAUCUGCUGUUUGAAGAUCAUUUUUCAUGAGUUUGAAUAUGACUUUUUGACUUCACACCCCC